GGGCGCGAAUAGAUUUCGACGCGGAUUAUGGGGUGCACGUGGCAUGCCGACCCGUCAUCAAGUCGAAAACUGAUGGCAAAAAACCAAACGGCGAAUCUUACGCCCUAGCUGCUUAACAAUAAGCAGCCGCCAAGCGGGCGACGCCUACUGACCCGUAAGGCGCCAAUUAGCAGGCUUUGCCGAACCGAGUCCUCCUCUGCGAGGCUAGGCGAGAACCAGUGAGGAUAGCCGGCGUUUUAUCCCGUCCCCGGGAGCCGACGACGGUGAAAUUCAAAACGGGGAACAAGCAUGUAGAUGCGUGCAUGAAGUAUUCGCGGACGAGGGUGCAAUUCCCUCCGCGUCCAC
This 345-nucleotide transfer-messenger RNA is filed under the name bacterium ADurb.Bin270. Its description in RNAcentral is "transfer-messenger RNA, SsrA". It matches the Rfam family "transfer-messenger RNA". Rfam says of the family: Bacterial tmRNA, also known as 10Sa RNA or SsrA, is named for its dual tRNA and mRNA-like properties. The record is from RNAcentral.